AAUCCCAUGGGAUUAUAAUUAUCCCAUGGGAUUUUUAAUAUCCCAUGGGACAAAUUAAAAUCCUAUGGGAUU
RNAcentral lists this small RNA (72 nucleotides) under Mytilus galloprovincialis (Mediterranean mussel). The record is from RNAcentral. Lineage: Eukaryota; Metazoa; Mollusca; Bivalvia; Mytilida; Mytilidae.